RNAcentral lists this ribosomal RNA (483 nucleotides) under uncultured bacterium. RNAcentral describes it as "bacterial SSU rRNA". It matches the Rfam family "Bacterial small subunit ribosomal RNA", at positions 37 to 507 of the family's 1533-position model. The record is from RNAcentral.
GACGACGCGUGGCGGCGUGGAUUAGGCAUGCAAGUCGAACGGUAUCAUCCUUCGGGGUGAGAGAGUGGCGAACUGGUGAGUAACACGUAGGUUAUCUACCCUCAAGACGGGACAACCCAGGGAAACUUGGGCUAAUACCGGAUGUGAGCAACUUUAGUUGUUUGAAAGGUGGCGUAAGCUGUCGCUUGGGGAUGAGCCUGCGUCCUAUUAGUUAGUUGGUGAGGUAACGGCUCACCUAGGCAAUGAUAGGUAGGCGGCCUUAACGGGUGGUCGCCCACACUGGGAUUGAGAUACGGCCCAGACUCCUACGGGAGGCAGCAGUCGAGAAUAGUCUACAAUGGUCGGAAGACUGAUAGUGCGACGCCGCGUGAACGAUGAAUCCCUUCGGGGUGUAAAGUUCUUUUAUAUGUGAGCAGUGCUUCUUAUAUUAACAGUAUGGGGAGAGAGAUAUUAGCAUAUGAAUAAGCAACGGCUAACUCCGUG